GGCGGGAGCGGAGGGCAACGGGGCGGCGCGGGCGGCCGGGCGCAGGGUCGCGGGAGGUGACGCGCGGCGAGGAUGGCGGCGCGGGGCCGGGGGCUGCUGCUGCUGACGCUGUCGGUGCUGUUGGCGGCGGGCCCCUCCGCCGCUGCGGCCAAGCUCAACAUCCCCAAAGUGCUGCUGCCCUUCACGCGGGCCACGCGCGUUAACUUCACGCUGGAGGCCUCGGAGGGCUGCUACCGCUGGUUGUCCACCCGGCCGGAGGUGGCCAGCAUCGAGCCGCUGGGCCUGGACGAGCAGCAGUGCUCCCAGAAGGCAGUGGUGCAGGCCCGCCUGACCCAGCCUGCCCGCCUCACCAGCAUCAUCUUCGCAGAGGACAUCACCACAGGCCAGGUCCUGCGCUGUGAUGCCAUUGUGGACCUCAUCCAUGACAUCCAGAUCGUCUCCACCACCCGCGAGCUCUACCUGGAGGACUCCCCCCUGGAGCUGAAGAUCCAGGCCCUGGACUCCGAAGGGAACACCUUCAGCACUCUGGCUGGACUGGUCUUCGAGUGGACGAUUGUGAAGGACUCCGAGGCGGACAGGUUCUCAGACUCCCACAAUGCGCUGCGAAUCCUCACUUUCUUGGAGUCUACGUACAUCCCUCCUUCUUACAUCUCAGAGAUGGAGAAGGCUGCCAAGCAAGGGGACACCAUCCUGGUGUCUGGGAUGAAGACCGGGAGCUCCAAGCUCAAGGCUCGCAUCCAGGAGGCUGUCUACAAGAAUGUACGCCCUGCAGAAGUCAGGCUGCUGAUUUUGGAAAACAUCCUUCUGAACCCGGCCUAUGACGUCUACCUGAUGGUGGGAACCUCCAUUCACUACAAGGUGCAGAAGAUCAGGCAAGGGAAAAUUACAGAACUCUCCAUGCCUUCCGAUCAGUACGAGUUGCAGCUUCAGAACAGCAUCCCGGGCCCCGAAGGAGACCCAGCCCGGCCGGUGGCUAUCUUGGCCCAGGACACAUCGAUGGUCACUGCACUGCAGCUGGGACAGAGCAGCCUCGUCCUUGGCCACAGGAGUAUUCGCAUGCAAGGUGCGUCUAGGUUACCCAACAGCACUAUCUACGUGGUCGAACCUGGAUACCUAGGGUUCACCGUUCACCCUGGUGACAGGUGGGUGCUGGAGACCGGCCGCCUGUAUGAAGUCACCAUCGAAGUUUUUGACAAGUUCAGCAACAAGGUCUAUGUAUCUGACAACAUCCGAAUUGAAACCGUGCUUCCUGCUGAGUUCUUCGAGGUGCUCUCGUCCUCCCAGAAUGGGUCAUACCAUCGCAUCAGGGCACUAAAGAGGGGACAGACGGCCAUUGACGCGGCCCUCACCUCUGUGGUGGACCAGGAUGGAGGGGUCCACAUACUACAGGUGCCUGUGUGGAACCAGCAGGAGGUGGAAAUUCACAUCCCGAUCACCCUGUAUCCCAGCAUCUUGACAUUUCCAUGGCAACCAAAGACGGGCACCUAUCAGUACACAAUAAAGGCCCACGGUGGCAGUGGGAACUUCAGCUGGUCUUCAUCAAGCUACCUGGUUGCCACAGUUACUGUCAAGGGCGUGAUGACCACAGGCAGUGACAUCGGGUUCAGUGUGAUCCAGGCACAUGAUGUGCAGAACCCACUCCAUUUCGGUGAGAUGAAGGUGUAUGUGAUCGAGCCCCACAGCAUGGAGUUUGCCCCGUGCCAGGUGGAGGCACGUGUGGGCCAGGCCCUGGAGCUGCCCCUGAGGAUCAGUGGCCUCAUGCCCGGCGGGGCCAGCGAGGUGGUCACCUUGAGCGACUGCUCCCACUUUGACUUGGCUGUCGAGGUGGAGAACCAGGGUGUGUUCCAGCCACUCCCAGGGAGGCUGCCGCCAGGCUCUGAGCACUGCAGCGGCGUCCGGGUAAAGGCCGAGGCCCAGGGCUCUACCACGCUUCUUGUGAGCUACAGACACGGCCACGUCCACCUGAGUGCCAAGAUCACCAUUGCUGCCUACCUGCCCCUCAAGGCUGUGGAUCCCUCCUCUGUUGCCUUGGUAACCCUGGGCUCCUCAAAGGAGAUGCUGUUUGAAGGAGGUCCCAGACCUUGGAUCCUCGAGCCGUCCAAAUUCUUCCAGAACGUCACUGCUGAGGACACUGACAGCAUCGGCCUGGCUCUCUUUGCCCCCCAUUCCUCCCGGAAUUAUCAGCAACACUGGAUCCUUGUGACCUGUCAGGCCUUGGGUGAGCAGGUCAUCGCCCUGUCGGUGGGGAACAAGCCCAGCCUCACCAACCCCUUUCCUGCGGUGGAGCCUGCCGUGGUGAAGUUCGUCUGCGCCUCACCGUCCAGGCUCACCCUCGCGCCUGUCUACACCAGCCCCCAGCUGGACGUGUCCUGUCCGCUGCUGCAGCAGAACAAGCAGGUGGUCCCAGUGUCCAGCCACCGCAACCCCCUGCUGGACCUGGCUGCUUACGACCAGGAGGGCCGCCGGUUCGACAACUUCAGCUCUCUGAGCAUCCAGUGGGAGUCCACCAGGCCAGUGUUGGCCAGCAUCGAGCCUGAGCUGCCCAUGCAGCUGGUGUCCCAGGACGAUGAGAGUGGCCAAAAGAAGCUGCACGGUUUGCAGGCCAUUUUGGUUCACGAGGCAUCAGGAACCACAGCCAUCACUGCCACUGCCACUGGCUACCAGGAGUCCCACCUCAGCUCUGCCAGAACAAAGCAGCCGCAUGACCCUCUGGUGCCUCUGUCGGCCUCCAUAGAGCUCAUCCUGGUGGAGGACGUGAGGGUGAGCCCAGAAGAGGUGACCAUCUACAACCACCCUGGCAUCCAGGCAGAGCUCCGCAUCAGAGAAGGCUCAGGUUACUUCUUCCUCAACACCAGCACCGCAGAUGUAGUCAAGGUGGCCUACCAGGAGGCCAGGGGUGUCGCCAUGGUGCACCCUUUGCUCCCGGGCUCAUCCACCAUCAUGAUCCAUGACUUGUGCCUCGUCUUCCCGGCCCCAGCCAAGGCUAUCGUUUACGUGUCGGACAUUCAGGAGCUGUACAUCCGUGUGGUUGACAAGGUGGAGAUUGGGAAGACAGUGAAGGCAUACGUCCGCGUGCUGGACUUGCACAAGAAGCCCUUCCUGGCCCAAUACUUCCCCUUCAUGGACCUGAAGCUCCGAGCAGCCUCCCCGAUCAUUACACUGGUGGCCCUUGAUGAAGCCCUUGACAACUACACCAUCACAUUCCUUAUCCGCGGUGUGGCCAUCGGCCAGACCAGUCUAACUGCAAGUGUGACCAAUAAAGCCGGACAGAGAAUCAACUCAGCCCCACAACAGAUUGAAGUCUUUCCCCCGUUCAGGCUGAUGCCCAGGAAGGUGACACUGCUUAUCGGGGCCACGAUGCAGGUCACCUCCGAGGGCGGCCCCCAGCCUCAGUCCAACAUCCUUUUCUCCAUCAGCAAUGAGAGCGUUGCGCUGGUGAGCGCUGCUGGGCUGGUACAGGGCCUCGCCGUCGGGAACGGCACUGUGUCUGGGCUCGUGCAGGCAGUGGAUGCAGAGACCGGCAAGGUGGUCAUCAUCUCUCAGGACCUCGUGCAGGUGGAGGUGCUGCUGCUACGGGCCGUGAGGAUCCGUGCCCCCAUCAUGCGGAUGAGGACGGGCACCCAGAUGCCCAUCUAUGUCACCGGCAUCACCAACCACCAGAACCCUUUCUCCUUUGGCAAUGCCGUGCCAGGCCUGACCUUCCACUGGUCUGUCACCAAGCGGGACGUCCUAGACCUCCGAGGGCGGCACCACGAGGCGUCGAUCCGACUCCCGUCACAGUACAACUUUGCCAUGAACGUGCUCGGCCGGGUAAAAGGCCGGACCGGGCUGAGGGUGGUGGUCAAGGCUGUGGACCCCACAUCGGGGCAGCUGUAUGGCCUGGCCAGAGAACUCUCGGAUGAGAUCCAAGUCCAGGUGUUUGAGAAGCUGCAGCUGCUCAACCCUGAAAUAGAAGCAGAACAAAUAUUAAUGUCGCCCAACUCAUAUAUAAAGCUGCAGACAAACAGGGAUGGUGCAGCCUCUCUGAGCUACCGCGUCCUGGAUGGACCCGAAAAGGUUCCAGUUGUGCAUGUUGAUGAGAAAGGCUUUCUAGCAUCAGGGUCUAUGAUCGGGACAUCCACCAUCGAAGUGAUUGCACAAGAGCCCUUUGGGGCCAACCAAACCAUCAUUGUUGCUGUAAAGGUAUCCCCUGUUUCCUACCUGAGGGUUUCCAUGAGCCCUGUCCUGCACACCCAGAACAAGGAGGCCCUGGUGGCCGUGCCUUUGGGAAUGACCGUGACCUUCACUGUCCACUUCCACGACAACUCUGGAGAUGUCUUCCAUGCUCACAAUUCGGUCCUCAACUUUGCCACUAACAGAGACGACUUUGUGCAGAUCGGGAAGGGCCCCACCAACAACACCUGCGUUGUCCGCACAGUCAGCGUGGGCCUGACACUGCUCCGUGUGUGGGACGCAGAGCACCCGGGCCUCUCGGACUUCGUGCCCCUGCCUGUCCUACAGGCCAUCUCCCCAGAACUGUCCGGGGCCAUGGUGGUGGGGGACGUGCUCUGUCUGGCCACUGUUCUGACCAGCCUGGAAGGCCUCUCAGGAACCUGGAGCUCCUCGGCCAACAGCAUCCUCCACAUCGACCCCAAGACGGGUGUGGCUGUGGCCCGGGCCGUGGGAUCCGUGACGGUUUACUAUGAGGUCGCUGGGCACCUGAGGACCUACAAGGAGCAAGGCGUUUAGGCUUUGAGCCUCAGUGUUGCCACCUGUGAAACGGGUGACACUAUGUCACAGACUGCACGGUGAGGUUGUGGAAACGCCCAGCAUGGACCGGGACACAGGCGGCGCUCCAUGAAGCUUCCUUGGCUCCCUCUCUAGGUGGUGGUCGGCGUCCCUCAGAGGAUCAUGGCCCGUCACCUCCACCCCAUCCAGACCAGCUUCCAGGAGGCUACAGCCUCCAAAGUGAUUGUUGCCGUGGGAGACAGAAGCUCUAACCUGAGAGGCGAGUGCACCCCCACCCAGAGGGAAGUCAUCCAGGCCUUGCACCCAGAGACCCUCAUCAGCUGCCAGUCCCAGUUCAAGCCGGCCGUCUUUGAUUUCCCAUCUCAAGAUGUGUUCACCGUGGAGCCACAGUUUGACACUGCCCUUGGCCAGUACUUCUGUUCAAUCACAAUGCACAGGCUGACGGACAAGCAACGGAAGCACCUGAGCAUGAAGAAGACAGCUCUGGUGGUCAGUGCCUCCCUCUCCAGCAGCCACUUCUCCACAGAGCAGGUGGGGGCCGAGGUGCCCUUCAGCCCAGGUCUCUUCGCCGACCAGGCUGAAAUCCUUUUGAGCAACCACUACACCAGCUCCGAGGUCAGGGUCUUUGGUGCCCCGGAGGUUCUGGAGAACUUGGAGGUGAAAUCCGGGUCCCCGGCUGUGCUGGCAUUCGCAAAGGAGAAGUCUCUUGGGUGGCCCAGCUUCAUCACAUACACGGUCGGCGUCUCAGACCCCGCGGCCGGCAGCCAAGGGCCUCUGUCCACUACCCUGACCUUCUCCAGCCCCGUGACCAACCAAGCCAUUGCCAUCCCAGUGACAGUGGCUUUUGUGAUGGAUCGCCGUGGGCCCGGUCCUUAUGGAACCAGCCUCUUUCAGCACUUCCUGGAUUCCUACCAGGUCAUGUUCUUCACGCUCUUUGCCCUGUUGGCUGGGACGGCGGUCAUGAUCAUAGCCUACCACACUGUCUGCACGCCCCGGGAUCUUGCUGUGCCUGCAGCCCUCACGCCUCGAGCCAGCCCUGGACACAGCCCCCACUAUUUCGCUGCCUCAUCACCCACAUCUCCCAAUGCACUGCCUCCUGCUCGCAAAGCCAGCCCUCCCUCAGGGCUGUGGAGCCCAGCCUAUGCCUCCCACUAGGCUGUGUGAAGGUUCCCGGAGGAUGGGUCUCAGCCGAGCCUCGUGCGCCCCCAAGAUGGAACAUCCCUGCUGCAUUCACACUGGAACAAGCCCCUCCAGACGAGUGCCCCGGCCCCAGGCCAGCUUCACUGCCGUCUCUUCACACAGAGCUGUAGUUUCGGCUCUGCCCAUUAGCUCAUUUUAUGUAGAAGUUUUAAAUGUGUGUUUUUUUCCUUUCAAGUCUUACAAAGCUAAGACUUUUUGGCUCAUUCCUUUUUGCAUGGUUGUCUAGGGUUUCUGGACAAUGUGCUGUUGCAUUUUUAUUUUCCUAGCCUUGCUAAAAUCUCUCCCUUCUCAAGACUUUGAGCAGUUAGAAGUGCUCCUUAGAAGUUGUCUGUGGGUGAUGUUACUGUAGUGGUCUCAGGGAAAGGACUGUCCAGUUACUUUAGGGGGUUUUUGGUGGGGUUUUUCCCCUGUGAAAACUUACUUUUCUCCUAGUCUGGCUGCUGCUAGGACUUCUGAGGAGCAAUGGGACAUGAGUGUCCCUGUAUCUGCCCCACUGCUGCAAGGGAAGCCUCAGGAACCAGCACCUGGAGGCCAGGGAUAGCCAAGCCCUGGGUGAGCGAGAGGCUGGAGAACACAGGAGCUCACCCAGGGCUGCUGCCCAACCAUGGGCCACUGUGAACAGACUUCAGUCCUCUGUUUUUGUUUCAUAAGCCAUUGAGACAUCUGAUGGACUUGGCUUAGGCCCUGCUGGGACAUCCCACGUGUGAUCCCUUUCACUCCAUCAGGACACCAGGACUGUCCUUAGGAAAAUGUCCUUGAGAUGGCAGCAGGAGUCAUAUUUUCUGUGUGUGUGUUUCGGAAAGCCGCUGUGUCCUGCCUCAGCACAAAGACCCAGUGUCAUUUGCUCCUCCUGUUCCUGUGCCACUCCAGAACCUCAGCAGAUCUGAGCCACCGCCUGCCAGUGUGAGAGGCGGCCACUUUCAUGGCAGCUCAUCAGGCGCAGGGCCCCAGACAGCUUCCCAGCAGGCCCUAGAGCCCGGCCUGGGCCAAUGAUGGAGGGCGGCCACCAGCCCAGGGCCUGCCCAUCCAGAAGGGACUCCCCAGGGCCUGGGGGAGGAGACCCUUGGAAAAGUCCUCUCUUCCCAGCUCCUGAUUCUGGAUCUGAGAUUCUCAGAUCACAGGCCCCUGUGCUCCAGGCCGAGGCUGGGCCACCCUCAGGGAGAUCCAGAGACUCAUGCCCAUGGCCAUCCAUGCGUGGACGCUGUGUGGAGAGUCCAGGAUGACGGGAUCCCGCACAAGCUCCCUUCAGUCCUUCAGGGCUGGGCCAUGUGGUUGAUUUUUCUAAAGCUGGAGAAAGGAAGAAUUGUGCCUUGCAUAUUACUUGAGCUUAAACUGACAACCUGGAUGUAAAUAGGAGCCUUUCUACUUGGUUUAUUUAAUAAAGUUCUAUGUGAUUUUUUAA
This is an RNA transcript of Pan troglodytes (chimpanzee), 7330 nucleotides long. It is a transcript of the gene named nucleoporin 210, with no coding region annotated. Lineage: Eukaryota; Metazoa; Chordata; Mammalia; Primates; Hominidae. The record is from RefSeq and is a predicted model, not a curated record. The transcript has 40 exons.